CCUACGGGAGGCAGCAGUGAGGAAUAUUGGUCAAUGGCCGGAAGGCUGAACCAGCCAUGCCGCGUGAAGGUCAGUGCCCUAUGGGCGUUAAACUUCUUUUGUGCGGGAGCAAUAGUGGUCACGUGUGGCCAGACGAGAGUACCGUACGAAUAAGCAUCGGCUAACUCCGGGCCAGCAGCCGCGGUAAUACGGGGGAUGCAAGCGUUAUCCGGAUUAAUUGGGUUUAAAGGGUGCGUAGGCUGGGAGGUAAGUCAGCGGGGGAAUGCCCCCGCUCAACGGGGUGAAGUGCCAUUGAUACUGCCAUGCUGGAAUGCGGAUGAGGUGGGAGGAAUGUGUGGUGUAGCGGUGAAAUGCAUAGAUAUCACACAGAACACCGAUUGCGAAGGCAUCUCACGAAUCCGCGAUUGACGCUGAUGCACGAAAGCGUGGGUAUCAAACAGGAUUAGAUACCCGGGUAGUC
This 460-nucleotide ribosomal RNA is filed under the name uncultured bacterium. RNAcentral's name for it is "partial 16S ribosomal RNA". It matches the Rfam family "Bacterial small subunit ribosomal RNA", at positions 338 to 795 of the family's 1533-position model. The record is from RNAcentral.